GACGAACGCUGGCGGCGUGCUUAACACAUGCAAGUCGAACGGAAAGGCCCUGCUUUUGUGGGGUGCUCGAGUGGCGAACGGGUGAGUAACACGUGAGUAACCUGCCCUUGACUUUGGGAUAACUUCAGGAAACUGGGGCUAAUACCGGAUAGGAGCUCCUGCUGCAUGGUGGGGGUUGGAAAGUUUCGGCGGUUGGGGAUGGACUCGCGGCUUAUCAGCUUGUUGGUGGGGUAGUGGCUUACCAAGGCUUUGACGGGUAGCCGGCCUGAGAGGGUGACCGGCCACAUUGGUACUGAGAUACGGCCCAGACUCCUACGGGGGGCAGCAGUGGGGAAUAUUGCACAAUGGGCGGAAGCCUGAUGCAGCAACGCCGCGUGCGGGAUGACGGCCUUCGGGUUGUAAACCGCUUUCGCCUGUGACGAAGCGUGAGUGACGGUAAUGGGUAAAGAAGCACCGGCUAACUACGUG
Molecule: ribosomal RNA, 468 nt
Filed under: uncultured bacterium
Lineage: Bacteria
Description: partial 16S ribosomal RNA
Rfam family: Bacterial small subunit ribosomal RNA
Source: RNAcentral